CAAGCGUCUGUGCAGAAGGACUCCAAUUUAUUAAACCGUGUGUGAGAUGAGAGAAGGACGGUGUAUUAGUCUACUCAGCUGCUGUAACGAAACACCACGGGCUGGGCAGCUUAAACAACAGACAUUUCUUUCUCCCAGUUCAACAGGAGGGAAGUCCAAGAUCAAGGUGUCAGCAGGUCUGGUUUCCUCCGAAACUUCUCUCUUUAGCUUGUAGCUGGCCAUCUUCUCCCUGUGUCCUCAUGUGGUCAUCCCUUCGGGCACGUACCCCUCGUGUCUCUUUGUGUGUUUCUCGUAAGGACACCAGACAGAUUGUAAGGCCCACCCUCCCAGUCUCCUUUUAACUUAAUCCCCUCCUUAAAAACCUACCAUCUGAGAUACUGGGGGUUAGGAUUUCAACAUACGAAUUUUCGAGGGACACAAUUCAGUCCCUAAAAGAUGUUAGUAGUAUUUUUCUGAUUGAAGAGAUUAUAAUUUCACAUUUUUCUUCACACACUUCUAUUUUUCUUAUCCAACUUUUUUCCUAGUGAACAUGUAUUACCAUAAAAUUAAUUUUAAAAGGAAAAAUAGGGCACCACGAAAGUUCUUGUGCAUAAAGCACAUGCUACAUAGAGAGUGCAGGCCAGAGCACAAGGGGGCUUGCCACCGGCCACCCCUCCCAAGUCAACUCCUGGCGUGACCAUUCCCAACAACCAAGGAGGCGAGAAGUAAGACGAAGAUGGUAGAUGCCCCCUCCCCGGGGAAUGAGCAAGACCUGUGCAGAAUCUGAAGGCGAUCAGGUGAAAUCCAUUGCCCCUGUCCCUGGGGCUUUGAGGAAUGGGGGCUCGCUGGUCAUCAUUCGUCUUUGCAUUCAGAGAUCCUGCUGUUCUUCCCCCCCCCCCCCCCGCCCCCGGUCUGCACAGUCAGCCAGACUUGAGCCCCAGUGCUCCGUGGGGCUCAUUGUCUAUCCCGAUGUGUCUAAUAUCUAACAAAGUUGCGUUCACUUCUGGUUAAGGAUGAGAUCCCCUCCCCUCCAUUUCUACUGUAAAAAUAUUUUGACUAGAAAAAGAAAACCUCCCAUGAUCUCACCAUCUCAGGCAAGCUUCUUUUUUUUUGUUUUUUCCUUUUUUCUCUCUGGGUUUUUGUUUUUGUUUCCAAUUUCCGUAUAGCCUCUGUGCACGGCCCGUGUACUCAGGGAUUUAAGCAACACAUCAGGAAGACAGAAGAGAUGACUUCGAGGACUUCCUUUUUUCAUAGAAAAUGAUUUUGUAGCCCUCUCUGCCUCCAGAGCACACACCUACACACCCUGGGUAUUUUGUUGGGUUAACCAAAGACCAAAACAGCACCAGCCUUGUCCUUAACUCAGAAAGGACCUCCAGAUGGAAGGAAAAAGGCUCUGAGGGGGGCGGGGGAGCGGAGGACAGGGGGUAUAAGCCACCAGAACCCUUAUUGAGAGCAAUUUGGCAACAGAUAUUGUAUUUAAAGACUGAUAUUUUUUGUAUCCUAUGACCCAGGAUUUCAGUUUUGAGAUACGCCUCAUAGGAAACAGGGAUGUAGAAAAGAGUUACCAUCCCAAAUGUUUUCACAGCCCUGUUUACGACAGAAAAAAAUUGGAAGCAAUCUUGAUAUCUAACUGUAAAAAGAAUGGUUAAAUACACAUGCCACACCAUGCAAAAAGGCACAGAUGUGCGGGCUCCUCCGGGCAGGAAGGGCUCCUCAGCACCCCUCCCCCUGCCCACAGGAAGAGCCACGGGACCCAUGGGGAGGCCCAGGCCCAGGUGCAUCCCAGGCCAGCAGCACUGAGAGUGAGGAAUAGGGGACCGAGGGUGGCUUUGCAGUCAGAUCAGCACGGGUUCAAAUCCUGCUCGGUCUUGCCUUAGCCGGGUGGCCUUGGCAGCUCUUCCACCUCAACCCUUGGAAAGUGGGUUGAAAUCCCGAGCCUGCAGCACUCUCAAAGGAAUUACACCGGGCAGCACACGUGGGAGCUGGCAUUUGCCCUGGGUCACCCAGCAAGCAUGUCACAGGGCCAGGGUUUAAAAUUAGGUCCACCCACUUCCAGGAUCAUGACCUUUUCUGUUCCUUAUGCCAUGCUGCCUCUUUGAGAUAUCAUCCCAAAGCCCUGGGGAAGCAGCGGCGGCAGGAGCCACAGACAGACUGCCAAGAAGUGGGGCUCCAGCUGGGGGUCCGAACAGGGUUUUUGUCCCCGGGACUCAGUUGAUUGAAGAGGUCAUGGAAACCAGCAUCUUUCACCGGGAGCCCCCAAGUCCUGGAACUGGGGUGCUGGAGGGGGAUCCAAAGAAAACAGUCGUGGGUUUGGAAGCUGACGGUGUGCCCCAUCACGCCCUGCAGUCGGGGGGCCAAGGGCUGCACUCGCGGGCCGGGAGGGGCAUCUGGUUUCACUCGGCCACAAUCAGUGCUUUUACAAUUGACAAGGGAGGCAGGAGGGGACUUUUCAGCCUGUUGCAGAUAGAAAGUGCACUGGGACAAUGACAUGGAAGAGAUUUUUUGCCCUCCCUUCAGGAGAGGCUCAUCGGAGGACACCGGCCCCCAGGCAGGUGGUCUGGGAGAAGGCCCUGGCGUCCCCUCCGUGUUCCCCUUCACCCUGAAAAAAAGAUAUGUCCAGAGACUGUCACUCUGUGACACUCUUUGUCACAUUUGUGUCCUUCUUUUGGCAGCCUUUCCGGGGUUCCCUUACACAUUCCACUGGAUAUGGGGUGUCUCGCCAGAGGACACCUGGGUGGUGAUAAUCUAUUUAGAAGCAGGAAGGCAGCUCAGGAACAAAAGGAACGUCAUUCUCACAUGUGAAGAGAUGUCCUGGGCCCAUGAUGGCAGCCAAAUCAAGCCAUAAACAGAGCUCUUCCUCCAGGCCAGGCCCGCAGCGAUGAAACUGACAGGCCUGUUUCCUUCCUUCCCUCUUUCUCUCCCUCCUUUCCUCCUUCCUUCUCUUCUUCCUCUUCAAAGAAACUAAAUGGAAACAAAGCUGAGGAUCCUGCAGGCGCACUGGGCACCAGAGCAGAACGGCCCAGAGACCCGUGCAGGGACACAGAUCCACCCCAACGUGACUUGACCCAGGUACCAUCACCCUCCCUGGGAUGAGAAAGAGAAAGAAAGGGAUGGAGGGAACAUUUAUUGAGCACCUACUGAGUACCAAGUGUGCUCACAGGCCUGUGAGGUGGGUACGGUGCUUCCCGUCUGCAGAGCUGAGGCUGAGAACGGGAGUCAGGAGAGGUCCUGGCAGAGACAGGACCGGAACCGGCAAGGUCUGUCUCCAGAGCUCGCGCCUCCGCCCUCCAGCAGCAAUGAGCUGCACAAACGAAUGCCCCAUUCUGAAAACUAGUGGCUUUUGCCAAAAGCCCAUAAUAAAAAGACCGCCCCACAUGUUCAUACAAGGAAUACUAAACAAAAAGGAGAAUGAAUGAUAUCCACUACACAAAAUUAGAAUGGAGCCUGUGACACUGUGGGGCAGCCUCUUGCCAGCUCAUGAGAGCUGAUUGUGAAAUAUUCUGGAAUUUUGCAAGCUGGUUGUUAAAUCAUUGGUGGCUUGAAAUCAGUCAAGGUGGAAGUAUUUACAUCACUGAAAUUGGCAAAUACUACAAAUAGGGCCUUUCUUUUUUUUCUUCUUUUUCUCUCUCUUUUUUUUUCUUUUUGGAGAGCCAAUUUAUCAGCACACCACUGGAUGGAUCUUACAGAUGUUGAGCAGAAGUAACUAGACAUAAAAGGGAACACACUGCUUGAUCCCAUUUAUAAGGAGUUCAAGAACGGGCAAAGCGCAUCCAUGGUGAUGGAAGUCAGAGCAGUGGUCCGUCUGAGGUAUGAUGGAGGCACCGGGGGAACUGGUCACGUUCCGUGUCUUGAUGUUGCUGGUGGGGAUAGCAGCAUAUUCAGGGUGUGGAAGUUCAUCCAGCCUCACACUCGGGAUAGAGUGUUUUUCACAGACGCAACCUCAUAACAUUCUCACACAUCUUGGUGGGGAGGCAGGAACGGAGGAAGGCAAAGAGAUCGCUGAGUGAACCUUUAAGAGAGGUCAAAUGAGGUUCCACAAGCAAGACCCCCCAAGACUCAGGCUCAGGAGCCAAAGGUUCCAGCUCUGCAAGCUUGGGCCAACUCUCUAGUCGCUCUGGGCCUCAGUUUCCCCAUCUG
Long non-coding RNA from Equus caballus (horse), 4116 nucleotides. Lineage: Eukaryota; Metazoa; Chordata; Mammalia; Perissodactyla; Equidae. The record is from Ensembl.